RNAcentral lists this non-coding RNA (695 nucleotides) under Steinernema kushidai. Lineage: Eukaryota; Metazoa; Nematoda; Chromadorea; Rhabditida; Steinernematidae. The record is from RNAcentral.
UUAAGUCUUUAUUUAUAUAAUAAUUAAAUUUGAUCAUGGUUUGUUUGUUGGUUCAAAAUGAUGUUAUCUAAAUUUGAUUCAUUAAGUGGGCAAUGUAAUUCUACCCCGGCAAUUUAUCGCUUGUAUAAUUUUUGUUCCAGAAUAAUCGGCUAGACUUAAAUAAGCUUGUACUCUAAUUUUUGUAAAAUUAAAUAUUUUGAAAUUGUUAUUUAUUCUCUAGGGUAAAAUCAGGAGAAUUAGUUAUAAUUUAUUUAAUUUAUAAGAUUUGGUGAACGAACCAGAUUAGUACCUGGUUAGACAAAAUUAAAAAGAGCAGGAGUAAAGUUAUAUUUAAACUGUAAGGAUAUUGGCAGGUUUUUUAAAUUAUCUUUGGAGGUUGAGUAGUAAUUGAGAACCCUCAUUUUCAUCUUUUGUUAUAGGCGCAUGUAUGAUCGUUUAUUUUAUUCUUAAGGAUUGUAAACAAAAAUUUUUAUUUAUAAAAAUAGAUAAAUACCUGGUUUAUACAAGAGUUUAAAUUUGACCUACAAUAAAUAAGAUUUUGGAUUCAAUUUUGAGAAAAUUUGAUGAAAUUGUAAAAGACAGUAAGACAUUUUUUAUAUAUGUCUGAAGUUUAUCUAAAAGCGGUACAAAUCAUCCAUCAAUUGCCCAUAGGGGAGUAAGUUGUAGUAAAGUAGGUUUAGGGGAACCUGUACCUA